RNAcentral lists this ribosomal RNA (302 nucleotides) under uncultured bacterium. Its description in RNAcentral is "partial 16S ribosomal RNA". It matches the Rfam family "Bacterial small subunit ribosomal RNA", at positions 508 to 807 of the family's 1533-position model. The record is from RNAcentral.
GCAGCAGCCACGGUAAUACGAAGGGUGCAAGCGUUACUCGGAAUUACUGGGCGUAAAGCGUGCGUAGGUGGUGGUUUAAGUCCGUUGUGAAAGCCCUGGGCUCAACCUGGGAAUUGCAGUGGAUACUGGGUCACUAGAGUGUGGUAGAGGAUAGUGGAAUUUCCGGUGUAGCAGUGAAAUGCGUAGAGAUCGGAAGGAACAUCUGUGGCGAAGGCGACUAUCUGGGCCAACACUGACACUGAGGCACGAAAGCGUGGGGAGCAAACAGGAUUAGAUACCCCCGUAGUCCCUGUCUCUUAUAC